Long non-coding RNA from Papaver somniferum (opium poppy), 428 nucleotides. RefSeq lists it as uncharacterized. The transcript is spliced from 2 exons. Lineage: Eukaryota; Viridiplantae; Streptophyta; Magnoliopsida; Ranunculales; Papaveraceae. The record is from RefSeq and is a predicted model, not a curated record.
UAGGGUUUUCAAAAUCCAAUUGUGUGUUCGAUUUUAACCACCAAAUCAAUAAGAAUAAGGAUGGGGAUGCUUUUCUCUCAAGUGCUUCGAUUAUUAUGCCUGAUCCUCCUCUUAUCUCAAGUCGCUUGCGAACCAGGUCGAGAUGCUGAUAUGCCUAGGCCGCCACCAAAAGAACUUUUAGAAGGGCCGCCUUCAGGACGUCCGUGAGAACAAGAAUGACGCAUCCGCAUUCGAUUUGGAGUAAAAGGAUCUGCUUGUCACUGGUUUCAGUGAAUUCUGAUUAAGUAUUAAUUUAACGAAGCCGGAUUAGCGUUUAGAAAAAUCAAAUAAAAUGGUACGAGUAAAAAUUAUUGUUAUGGCUUAUUUCUUUAGUAAUAUUUUAUUUUGUUGUUUUUCAAGGAUUUUCCGCUAUCCAUUGUAAUUCUAUA